This 301-nucleotide ribosomal RNA is filed under the name uncultured bacterium. RNAcentral's name for it is "partial 16S ribosomal RNA". It matches the Rfam family "Bacterial small subunit ribosomal RNA", at positions 509 to 807 of the family's 1533-position model. The record is from RNAcentral.
CAGCCGCCGCGGGAAUACGAAGGGGGCUAGCGUUGCUCGGAAUUACUGGGCGUAAAGGGAGCGUAGGCGGAUCGUUAAGUUGGGGGUGAAAGCCCGGGGCUCAACCUCGGAACUGCCUUCAAUACUGGCGAUCUUGAGUAUGAGAGAGGUGUGUGGAACUCCGAGUGUAGAGGUGAAAUUCGUAGAUAUUCGGAAGAACACCAGUGGCGAAGGCGACACACUGGCUCAUUACUGACGCUGGGGCUCGAAAGCGUGGGGAGCAAACAGGAUUAGAUACCCCAGUAGUCCCUGUCUCUUAUAC